UGGGCGAGAGGAUCCUCUUUGAGCGAAACCAGCCUUCUGCCUGGCUGGCCCUGGUCAACACACUCGGAAGAGGCCGAUUUGGAGGACAGAACGGAAGAAAAGACCUAAAGAACUGACACAUUUGUGCCUAGCAUAGUGAUGCUGUUGUCUGCAGAAGGGUCACAGCCUUCAGGGACUCUCCUGCCAGUGCUGUAUUUUGCCUGCACCCCUCUGGCUUGGCUUCUGCACUGAGACCCUCCUAACAAAUGAUCCUCAUCCAAUCACUUAAAGGCCUGAAUAGAACCAAAAGUCUGACCUGCCCAUGAGUAAGAGAGAGCUCCUUCUGCCUGAUUGCUUCAGCUGAGAUAUCAGCCUUUUCCUGCCUUUGGAAUUGAACUGCAACACUGGCUCUUCCUGGGCCUCAAGCCUGCCAGCUUUUGAACUGUAAUCACACCAUCAUCUCUCCUGGUUCUCAGGCCUUUGGACUCAAAUCAGAAACACACCAUGGGCUCUCCUGUGUCUCAAGCUUGCCAACUGUGAUCUUGAGACUUCUCAGCCUCCAUAAUCACAUGAGUCAAUUGUUGGUUCUGUUUCUCUGGAGAACCCUAAUCCAUCACUUUACAUAUUUCUUCCAUUACACAUAUUGUUUCCCAGCAUAUUAAAUAAUUUACUGAUUAU
This 657-nucleotide long non-coding RNA is filed under the name Homo sapiens (human). RNAcentral's name for it is "non-protein coding LINC01138:47". The record is from RNAcentral. Lineage: Eukaryota; Metazoa; Chordata; Mammalia; Primates; Hominidae.